CGCAGGCGAGGCAGGCACAGCCCCGGCACACGCAGGCUGCGGGUCGCUCCGUGCCCCGCUCGGAGGUGACCCCGCUGCCAGGGCUCCCCUCAGCCCCUUCCGUAUCCCGAGGCGGCAAUGCGGCUCCUGCACCCCAGCAGCGCAUCGGCCCGUGCCAGCGCACCCGGGAACCUCAACUGCGGCAGGUACUCAGCUCACUGGAAACAAUCAGUAAUUUACAACAGCCUGCUUAAACAGUGAGAAAAAAUGCACCAAGGAUAAUAAAUAAGCAAAUACAUUUUAAGUGAUAAAUGGGAAGAGAAGUUUCAUUUGACAAGUUAAGCAGAUGGAGCUAUGGCCAAUUUCUUUAAUCUACUGGUACAUGAGUGUUAUGUUUAAUUUUCAAGUGGUGUUUAGUUGUAGAUUAGGAAUUGGAAACAAUUCAGUUGUUCACAGCAAACCACUUUCUCUUGCUGUUUCCUAAUUUGGAAUAUUAUUCUGUGUUUCCAAGAUGGUAUUUAUCCCCUAAUUCUUCAGGUCUCUAUUAUGUUCACGCAAGUAAUUUCAGAAGACACAUUCACUAGCUAACACCCAUCUCCUCUUGCACUUGCACACCACACAACAUUUAUAAUUAAGCCUCUUAGGAAGUUAGCUGCAUGGCCCUUGAUUAACUUCCUUUAAUUCUUCAUUGUUAAAGUUCAGUGCAAAGACCUCUGGAGUAAUCAGGCCACCUUUCCAACUGGAAAUGUAGCAUAUAAAUCAGUAUUCACUAAGAUACCAUCCCAGCAUAGAAAGUGAGUAUUGGUGCCUUUAUCACAGUCUAACAGGCCAUACAGGCUUAUCCAAAGCCAGUGUUUCCCAGCAGAUGAGGCAGAUAAAGCGGGUGAUCAGAGGCUGUUGACACAGGGCACAGCAUCUGCAAUUAAGUCACUAGGGAAGCUGGCAUGGAAUGCUGUGACAAAGAUAGGAUCCAAUUUACACACAGCUUUCAGCAAAUCUUAAAAUGCUGUCUGAGUAAAACCCAGCCACUCCUGACUUACUGCACGCUAGAAAUUUGUCAAAUAGUGUUGAGAAGAGGGGGGUAGAGGGUGCAUUGUUUGUCAGACAUCUAAAUUGGAUAUAUUUUAGUGAUUUUAUGUUCCUGACUCUCUUUCCAUGUCACCCAAAUUCUGUGAAGAAGAGGUGUGUGUUUGUGUUGGAAGUGCUGUAAUGUUUGGCACAUUGAGACUUCUACCUGCUCACCAUGACUGGUAUUCCCUGUUCUGCAAGACAAAAAGAAGAAGAGCAUAUGCGAUGAAACAGAUCCUUGGAUUUUGAAUCUUGAGGUGACCUUGACUCCACAACUCUCCUGAACAAUUACACUACAGAACAGUUGAUUGUUUCUUUGUUUGUGUGGCAAUAGAUUAUGGACUAAGAUAAAAGGAGCCUUCAGAACCUA
Lonchura striata (white-rumped munia) is the source of this 1417-nucleotide non-coding RNA. The record is from RefSeq and is a predicted model, not a curated record. Lineage: Eukaryota; Metazoa; Chordata; Aves; Passeriformes; Estrildidae.